This is a long non-coding RNA of Aquila chrysaetos chrysaetos, 1729 nucleotides long. RefSeq lists it as uncharacterized. The transcript has 2 exons. Lineage: Eukaryota; Metazoa; Chordata; Aves; Accipitriformes; Accipitridae. The record is from RefSeq and is a predicted model, not a curated record.
GCCAUCUUCUGUGGGGAUACACGGUCAGGGCGCGAGCAGGAGCCGCGCCCGCCGCUGCCGCCUUAAGUACGGGGCGGCGGGGCCGCGGCGGGAGGGACAUGGCGGGGGGCGACACGACCCGCCCGCGCCCUUGACGGGACACCGGGCCCGCCCGCGCCCGGAGGGAGGCCGGCCGCUCCCGCCCCGGCGGGACACCGGGCUCGCUCCCGCCCUGGCGGGGGGCCGGCUGCUCCCGCCCUGGCGGGACACCGGGCUCGCUCCCGCCCUGGCGGGGGGCCGGGCGGCCGGGUAGCGGUGCAGGCACGGAUCAGGAACGAGCGAGCCGCAGCAGAGCCGCCGGCCUGCCGCCAGCCCAGCGCCCCUGCCCCGCCGUGCGACGUCCCUCCCUCCCCACGGGCGGCCGGCAGCAGCCCAGGAGGACGCCGUGUCCGCAAGCCCCUUCUCCGACGCCCGGGAGAUCUCCUCAGCCUGACCCGGACCAAGCCAGGAUCCGCCGGCCCCUCCGUCAUGUGGGCGCCGGGACAUAACAUGGGGCAUUUCCCCGCUCCUUACGUCCACCUCUGUGCUCAUGCUUCUGCAGACCUUCUAUGAACAAGGAAAGCUGCUUAACGGCUGCGUAUCAAGCCAUCACACCAGUUGCGAGAAUGUUUUAAGAAAAAUCUCCCCACUGAUAGUGCCUACAGAAAGUUGCCGGUGCUGGACCUUCAGGACGUGCUGAUGAUGCCAAGGGAGGAUCAUCUCUCACUCAUUUACACAGUGGUGAGGAAGGACUGAGCUCCUUUAGGGAAAUGGAGAGUUAAAACCACAGUGCGGGUCUCCCCGAAACAAAGGUCUGUGCAGGCAUGCAUGGCUGUCUUUCACUGCCUGUUAUUUUGAGGGAUUGUGUGUCUGCGAUCUGGGUUAAAAAUAACCCAGAAAGGUUAACUUGAAAGGUUUUUUUAAAUGUCCUUCAUGUCAGUGAUUUGGUCUACCAUGUAGCCACAGAAUCAGAAUCAGAAGUGAUGGCACUACUGAAAGGGUGGCAACCACUAUCAAGAUGGCAGAAAGGAACAACUGGAGGGACUGAAAACUAGACCAAAGACAAAAAAUUUGUUGAUAUUUUAGGUUCUGCUUCUGGGAUGUCAACAGCCACCUGAAAUUGAAGGCAGCAUAAAUCAUAUCUUGAUACUUUGAUCCUACAGCCUCUUAGUACAGUCUUACCAAGCAGUUACUCACAGAAAUAAUGAAUUUCAGAUUUCACAGCAAGUAAUGAGGUGGCUCUGACUACAGCUUGCACUAUUUGUCCUCUGCUGACCAGAGGAACUUGAGUGACAGAAGUUCAAAACAAGACACUCCAAUGUUACUGUUCUGUUUGUAAAAGCAGUGAAUGUCCACUAAGGAAAAUAGUAGCCAACCGGAUCUGGACAGAUUCCAAAUCUUCAAACCUUUAGCAGCAGUCCCUCUGGGUAACUUACCAACACAAAGGAAACUUCACAGCAGUGCAAAGCCUAGCAGAAAGUGGGGAAUUGGCUAAAACUUGCAUUCUUGUGGCCAGUCUCCAAUGAAAAAAUGGUCCCUAGUCAACAAAGAAAAAGGACGACAAGCACUUAAAUAAGAAAAUGCAAAGAGUUAACUCUAAAGGAGUUGUACUAAGGUUCACUUUGAUAGACCAGUACAAAUACGAUUUGCUGUCUUCUUGUUUAAAUGAGAUGCAGUGCAGAAAAGAGAAAAUAAAGAGAAAGGCCAUGAA